GAUGAACGCUGGCGGCGUGCCUAAUACAUGCAAGUCGAGCGAACAGAUCAGGAGCUUGCUCCUUUGACGUUAGCGGCGGACGGGUGAGUAACACGUGGAUAACUUACCUAUCAGACUGGAAUAACUCCGGGAAACCGGGGCUAAUGCCGGAUAACAUGUUGAACCGCAUGGUUCUACAGUGAAAGGCGGCUUUGCUGUCACUUAUCGAUGGACCCGCGCCGUAUUAGCUAGUUGGUGAGUUGACGGCUCACCACGGCAACGAUACGUAUCCGACCUGAGAGAGUGAUAGGCCACAUGGGAACUGAGACACGGUCCAGACGCCUACGGGAGGGAGCAGUAGGGAAUCUUCCGCAAUGGGCGAAAGCCUUACGGAGCAAGGCCGCGUGAGUGAUGAAGGUCUUGGGAUCGUAAAACUCGGUUAUUAGGGAAGAACAAAUGCGUAAGUAACUGUGCGCUUCUUGACGGUACCUAAUCAGAAAGCCACGGCUAACUACGUG
Molecule: ribosomal RNA, 497 nt
Filed under: uncultured bacterium
Lineage: Bacteria
Description: partial 16S ribosomal RNA
Rfam family: Bacterial small subunit ribosomal RNA
Source: RNAcentral